CUGCUGUAUAUACAUGGAUGUAAGUAAAGAAUCAAAAACAUGAGGUUUGACAUUUCUUAUAAAAUUUUAUACAUUCAAAGAUGUAAAUAAAUACAUGUAUGUGUACACUUAUAAACAAAAAAUAUGCAGUGCAGAUCAUAUACUUUCAUAAAAAUAAACGAGUCAUAAUCAAGGAAAAAAUUGGUUACAUCAUUAACAAGUCAAAAUAAACAUUAAGAACAACUUUUGUGAAUAGUGUGAACAAGUCUCCGUAAGAAUAAACCAGAUGUUUGCUCUACUAAGGGUAUAAAAAUAAUUACUGGCAUAAAUUGGGAGGUGAUCUUAUAUUUUAGAAAUAUUGUACAAUGUAAAUAAAACAAUCAAAGUUAUGCACACUUUUUGUUCACAAGGGACAUAACUUUUCCAAAAAGAACAUACUGAUGUAAGUUUUAUAAAUUCUUACUGUUACCAGUUGAGACAUUUGUUUUAUACCUGAUAAAAAUGAAUGUACCUUUGAAAAUUUGAACCAUUUUUUAAACACCUGAAGAAGGAUAUAUAUCCAUGUACCCCUGAUGAUUUGAUCUUUGGUUUCAUAUAAUAUCAUGGAUUAUAAUAAUAUCCAUAAAAAUAUCUACAUGUAAUUGUGAUAAUUUGUAACAACUUCACUACCAGAAAAAAAAAUGGUGUGAAUAGGUAUCAUUUAACAUGUUUAAGGGCUAUCCCGGAAAUAAAUACAUGGAGGUGGGGUGAGGGAGGCACUUUUUUUUAGACCCGCAACAACCACAAUAUAAAUUUAAAAUUCUACAUACAAUUCUUACAAAAUUUCAAUGGAGAACACACCAAACCACAAUUACUUAAUAAGAGUGCCUGCCAUCCCUGCACCAAAAUCAAUUUUGGCUCAGCCCUAAUACAAAAAAAGAUAUUAAAAAAAUUUAGUGAAUGCUGUUGACAUGGUUGAUGACACUAACAAAUAUUGAUAAAUUUGACAAUUCUAAGACAUUAUAUAAUAUAAGGUUGGCCUGUUGUACAGCUCUCAAGUCUAGGCGAAUAUUCAUGGAACAAGACCUUACAAUGAUGAAAUUUUGAUUAUCUAGAUGUACCAUGAUGUACCAUUAUUCAAUGAAACUUAUGUACAUUUUGUAAUUAUUUAUUGUAUAGCCCAAAAUGGUCCUUAAUGCAACUACAAGUACAGAUAUGAUGGAUGAGAAUGCAAUUCAAAAUGUGAAACAUGAAGAUAAUUAAAACUCAAUAAUAUGAUUACAUUGUAUAAAUGUCUUUGUUUCACUGUACAUUAAAUAUAAAAAAAAUAAAAACCACAUUAAUUAAAUUGACAUACAUUGAACAAGACAAUGUAAAAUGUUUUGUAACAUUAAUGUGAAUUAUAUUUUUUAUAAUGUGUUCAAAUUAUAAGUUAUCAGUGUUUCAUGAACCACUUUAUUAAAUGGAUGAUAUAAUUUUGGGUUUAUCAAAUAGUGCAAAUUGAGGACAAAUGAUGCAAAUAUUGUUAUUUAGUCAGCAGUAAAAGUUGAUGUAAAUACUGGAUUACCAAUUAAUUCACAACAUUCAUAAGUUAUUCCUGUAACCAUCAUAAAAAAAACACAUUAUAAAUAUUUAGGAUUCGUAUACAUACAAAAUAGAGAUAAAAAUCAAAAAAGUAAACAAUUUCUUACACAUUCAACAACACUCUUUCACAUGUACAUGUAUGUAAAAAUUUAAAGAUAAUUAUUUCUGAUUCAUGAACCACACUGUUUUCUUUUAGUUCCUUUGUAAACUUUAUAAUAAUAUACACCUGAACAUUUAUCCUGUACAAACUAAUUGCACACAUGAUUGUAAAAUAUGAAAUAACGAAGUACAUUUACUACAAUUAUAUAGGUUUAUAAAUAAAAC
Molecule: long non-coding RNA, 1866 nt
Filed under: Mytilus galloprovincialis (Mediterranean mussel)
Lineage: Eukaryota; Metazoa; Mollusca; Bivalvia; Mytilida; Mytilidae
Source: RNAcentral